CAGUAGCCGCGGUAAUACGUAGGUGGCAAGCGUUGUCCGGAAUUAGUGGGCGUAAGGCGCGCGCAGGUGGUUUAAUAAGUCUGAUGUGAAAGCCCACGGCCCAACCGUGGAGGGUCAUUGGAAACUGUUAAACUUGAGUGUAGGAGAGAAAAGUGGAAUUCCUAGUGUAGCGGUGAAAUGCGUAGAGAUUAGGAGGAACACCAGUGGCGAAGGCGGCUUUUUGGCCUGUAACUGACACUGAGGCGCGAAAGCGUGGGGAGCAAACGGGAUUAGAGACCCCUGUAGUCCCUGUCUCUUAUCC
This 301-nucleotide ribosomal RNA is filed under the name uncultured bacterium. Its description in RNAcentral is "partial 16S ribosomal RNA". It matches the Rfam family "Bacterial small subunit ribosomal RNA", at positions 509 to 809 of the family's 1533-position model. The record is from RNAcentral.